This 318-nucleotide ribosomal RNA is filed under the name uncultured eukaryote. RNAcentral describes it as "partial 18S ribosomal RNA". It matches the Rfam family "Eukaryotic small subunit ribosomal RNA", at positions 1470 to 1796 of the family's 1831-position model. The record is from RNAcentral.
CCCUUAGAUGUCCUGGGCCGCACGCGUGCUACACUGACGCCUACAGCGAGCACUUUCCAGUUCCGAGAGGCUACUGGUAAUCAUCAAUAUGCGUCGUGAUGGGGAUAGAUCUUUGGAAUUCUGGAUCUUGAACGAGGAAUGCCUAGUAAUCGCAGGUCAUUAGCCUGCGAUGAUUAAGUCCCUGCCCUUUGUACACACCGCCCGUCGCUACUACCGAUUUCGAGUGGUCAGGUGAAUCUUUCGGACUGUGGGCGCCCUUGAGGUGUUCGCGGAAAGUCAGGUAAAUCUUAUCACUUAGAGGAAGUAAAAGUCGUAACA